Molecule: RNA transcript, 3784 nt
Organism: Lotus japonicus
Lineage: Eukaryota; Viridiplantae; Streptophyta; Magnoliopsida; Fabales; Fabaceae
Exons: 11
Source: RefSeq, a predicted model, not a curated record
AUCCAUAUUCUCAAACUCCAACUACCCAAAAUCAAAAGCCUCCAGAACUUUCAUCUAAGGUUCCAAGCUCCGCCGUUCCAAACCCACAACUACCCAUCGUGUCAAAUCUUGUUCCAAACCCACAUCCCCAUCCAGAACGUUCAUCUAGGGUUCCAAGCCUGCAUUGUUCGAAACCCACAACCCCCAUUGUUCCAAAUCUCGUUCGAAACCCACAUCCCCCGUCGUUCGAAACCCACACCCAGAUAUUUAUUGAAACCCUCCAUCCUUCCCAUCGGCUCUAUUCGAUCGAGGGUCUGUGUUUUUUUUUUGUUGUCGUCGCCUAUGUCCAAACACAUGCCUCAGUCGAAACCCAAAUUUGUUCUUGUGUUUUCCUCUAUAGUCACUUCUGCCAUGGCCAUCGUGAAAGGCAUUUUUUCGCUCCUUUAUUCAUGUCUACCGAUUCGCGUUUGGGAUGUUUAACUGAUUCGCGUUUGGGAUGUUUAGGGUAAUCUGGGUUAAAUUGAUUUGGUGGUUUGGGAUGUUUAACCAAAUUAGGGUAUUUCGGGUUCGAAAAUUGGGGAUUUUGGUUAAGUUGAUUUGGGAUUUUUUCUAAAUUUGGCUAUUUCGUCGUGCCUGGAAUUGAAUUAGUGGUGGAAUUGGUUGUAAUUGAAUCAUUUUCUGGGGAUUUAUGGGCUAAUCAUCUCAAAAUCAAAUGAGAAGGAAGUUGAAGAAGUGAAUCCCAGGUGAAUCUGGGAGUGCUUGACGGAGCUGUUCAGCAUGGUUGAACCCAGUCGUUUGAGAGGGCUAGUGAUUAUUUUUGGUCCGGUAAGCUUUGAUACGAUGACAGACAUUGGACGUGAUGAGGCUAGGGUGGUGGAGCCUUUUGAUCCAACAUCACUCUGCAGUGAUGUUAACCAGAUUAACGCUACUGCUAUGGGUCUUGCUGGGUCGGUGAAUGCCGCCUUGAUGAAGUUCCAACAUGUAGACACUCAUCUAGAGGAACUUCACAACAUUCAGUAGGGGUGCACAUGGGUUGGGUUGGAUGGAUUUUUAGGCUAAUUAAGAUCCGAACCGAUCAAAAUUGUUUGGGUUGGGUUGGGUUGGAUUUCAUGAACUUUUACCUUCGGACCCGAUCCAACACAAUCCGACGAUCUUUGGGUUGGUUCGGAUGGGUUAAUUGGAUCGACAUAUUAAAAUAAUAAUAAAUUUGGAAUAUUGAAAAAAAAUAGAAAAAACUAGUAAAUUUGUUAUAGUACCAUAUAACAUAAAAAUGACACAAAACAUUGUACUAAAUAGCAUGAAAUAGUAUUACAUAAAUGACAUAUAGUCAAAUACCAUGAAAAACAACUACGACAAUGAAAUCAAACUAAUCAAUACGACAAUGACAUAGAUACUUAGAAUUUAGAUGUCUUUCAUUCUCCGAUAUGCCAAAUAAAAUUGAAACAAAGAGUGAAGACUAUGUAAAGUGAAACCGUGAAAUAAAAUUAGGGUAUUAGAAUUUUGAGGUUGGAUAGGUAAAAUUAUUAAAAAUAUAUAUCAAAUAAUAUAUUAUUAUUGUAUGUUUGGAUUUCGGGAUGGGUUGGGUGGAUUAUUAUUAAAUCCGAUAUCCGAUCCGAAGUUGAUUGGAUUGUAAUAAAAUCCGUCCGAUUGACCCGUUUACCCAAUCCAACCCGCAUUUUUUCCAUUGGGUUGAGUUGGAUCGGGCAGGUUCAUUGGAUCUACCCGACUCAUGUGCACCCCUAACAUUGAGGCUGGGAUGCAAGCUAAUAUGGAGAGGGUAGACAAGUAUUUGAGCAUGGUUGAGCAACCAGUCGUAAGAAAAUCAGAUCCUAAAGGUGGUAGUCAAUCUAAAGGGACUGCAUCUGCUGGUAGUAUUAAAUCUAAAGGCACUGCAUCAGAUCCUAAAGGUCGUAGUCAAUCUAAAGGGACUGCAAGUGCUGCUGGUAUUAAAUCUAAAGGCACUACAUCAGCUGUUGGUAAAAACAAAAGGAAGAAGACAAGGGCUGCAACUGAGGUCCUGAAAACGAAAUAUUGAACAUUGAUUUUGAUCAUACUGGUGCUGAUUUUGAGAAGGAUGAAGGUGCAUUUGCUGGUAUCCAAACCCAACAGAGUGAUGCUGCUAGUGCUGAGAAUAUUUGCACUCCAAAGACUCCAAGAAACCCACCCUUUCUUACACCUUGGUUACAAAAAAGCUUUAGAAGUGCUACAUCAGUAGAGGGACUUGUUGGAGCAUUUGUUAGGCAAGAUGUCGAACAAACAAAGCAGAAGCUCUUUCGUUCCCCAACUUCCACCAAAAAGGCUUAAAGCUCUACUCCAUUUGAAACUUCUCUCCCUGGCACUAACAACAUGAUCGUGUUAACCCAAGCAAGACUAUACAUUCGUCCUGCACCUUCUCCCCUUGUUCUCAACAGUGCCAAUUUAAAGUUUAACCUCCCUUCGGAGUUGGACUAGGGUCAUUUUGAAGCUCAAGCUGCUAUUUACUUAUUCCAUAAGGACAAAGACCUAGAGUAAGUAGAUGUUUAUUUGUAAUCUGUUACAACCCUGUUUACUUACUUACGUGUGAAGCUGAUGCUGGUAAAUGUAAUUUAAAUGUUCUGCUUUGCUAUAUCGGGGAGGUUUUGCUAACAAUGGGUCCUUAUGAAGCAAAGAGAAAGGAUUUCGAUUGCUUGUUUCCUGGUCAACAAAUUAGUGAGAAGAUAUCACGUCAACAGAGCUAUCUCCUAGAUGAUACUAUAUGGUGCAUUCCCCCAUCAUUUGUGGAGGAUGUUUACAAGGGUCUUUCCAUUGAGAAGUUGGUUAGGGCUUACUUCAACCCCUUCAUGGCUCCAUACCACACAUUAAGAUAUAUUUAUGUUCUUAUGAAGAAUGACUCGGGGCAUUGGUAUUUGAUGGUCAUUUCUAUUGUUGAAUAUGUCAUCUAUUACUUUGAUUCUCAUCUCAAUGUGGAGGACAUACCCAUAAGAUGUGCAAGCAUGCGAACAAUGUGUGAUACACUUGUAUAAAUGAUGAGUUCAUCAGAAAAAUAUGUUGAAAUGGAUUUCUACUGAAAAAUGGUAGACUUCCAUUCAUGGCAGCUGAGGGAAGCAAGGGUAAUCCCCAACACAGGAAGCAGGCAUGAUUCAGCGAUUUGGCUGCUGAGUUGGCUUGAGAUGGGGGAUGGGUUUAGCCCCAAUCAUAGUGGAUAUGUUUCCAAGUUGCAUACAUGGCCAAAAUAGCAUUAAAGCCAUGCGGUUUCCAAGUUCAUUUUAUUGUAAAACGUCAGAUUGGAAUUAAAGCCUUGCGGUUUCUAAGUUCAUUUUAUGGUAAAACGUCAUAUUGGAAUUAAAGUCUUUCUCCCAUCCACACUAACACCCCACCAAUUCCCAUUAACUCUAAUAACCCCCCAUCAACAAACCCUUCUAUAUAAUCUCACCCUCAAGUCCCUUUCUAGCACACAAUCCCCUUAUUUCAACACAUCUACCUUCCACACUUUGUUUAGUGAAGAAAAAAUGGCCAGCUCUAGCCACAUCAAGGAGGAGCCCAUUGAAAUUUCUUCAGCUGAUUCAAAUCCUGAAUAUGAGGAAAAGAUGAUAUAGCCAGAGGUUCAGCAACCAAGUGAACGUGAAGUGAGAGAGAGGCGUUUUCCUUUUAACCCUAGAUUCAACAUGGAUAUUACGUCUUCUCAGUGUUCAGCAGGGCAGGCCUUGGUAGUGAAAUUGAUUUUUUUUUAUUCAUUUUUUUAGCAGGGCAAACCAUAUUACGUCUUCUCAUUCAUUUUUUUUAAUUUCUAUUCUAUUCUAAACACACAUUACUUACAAUUACAUAA